RNAcentral lists this long non-coding RNA (424 nucleotides) under Fukomys damarensis (Damara mole-rat). RNAcentral describes it as "lncRNA (ENSFDAG00000023915.1)". Lineage: Eukaryota; Metazoa; Chordata; Mammalia; Rodentia; Bathyergidae. The record is from RNAcentral.
AAAAGAAGCUGAGCUUGGCACUGAAACAAAGGAGACCUCAGGUGAACCAAUGGACUUAAUUUCUACUUUUCAAAAUAGUUCUGUCAAAACAAGAACAGCAACAACAACGACUAUCUCCCCACCCAAACCUAGGAUCUGUGGAGACUCUGUGAAUGUAGAAGUAGAUGGAAUAAAUACUCACUUGAUUCCAUGGCAACCUUACAUUAACUUCAAAUGUGAUCUUAAGAGACUAAGCACACGAACAAUAGAUGCUAUUGUGCUCAUUCAUCCUGAUCAGAGAAGCUCCUGCUGGAUCUCUGAGAGGGAACGUGAUUUGACAAGAUGGCAGCUGACUAAGCAUGUUAUCCAUAGUGAUGGAACCAGGAAGGCAGUCGAUAGCCAGGUAAGAGAUAGCUUUUCGUUCCUGCUGUUAAUCAUGUAAGUA